Equus caballus (horse) is the source of this 6813-nucleotide long non-coding RNA. The record is from Ensembl. NCBI's taxonomy places the organism in Eukaryota, Metazoa, Chordata, Mammalia, Perissodactyla, Equidae.
UACCUGUUAGACAAUUUGUUUUUCUGUUUUAAUUAAGUUGGUAAGAAUUGUUUUCAAUGUAAAAACUGUUUGUUUCACUAAAUAGUAUGUUUAAAACUUUCUGCCCUGAAUGAGUAGUAAGUCUUUUGUUGUCUGAUAAUGAGAACAAAACAAAUUGGUUGAUAUCUUGGGAACAAGAUUUGAUAUUUUAGUGAAAUCACCUCCUUUAUUUAGGGAUGGAGACACAAAGAUACAUUGAUUUGGCCCCAUGCCUUGUUCAGAUAGAUUUGUAUAUAAUCAAGUAGAUUGUGAUAAAUAUAUGCUAGUGGUAGAUACAGUGUUCUAGUAACUUAGAAAAGAGAGAAUUCUGCGUGGAGAAGUUGGGGAAAGUCAGGCCGAGUGAACAGUGUUAACAAGUACAGUGUGAUUUCUUAUGGAUGAUAGGGGAUUAUGUGAGAGAUGGAGUGGAAAGUUUUUGGAGGAGGGUUUGUUAAAUUGCAGAAAGUUCAGAAUUUAAUCUUUGUCAGUGAUUCCUAACCUUUUUGGGAUCAUAGGUCGUCUUAGAAAAAUGCACGUUAAAUUCAUUCAAGUCCGGAGUGUUCAAACACUUCCUGAGGAUCUCUUUGAGCUAAGGCCUGAGCCUUGGAAAACAGCCACACUCAGGAACUGGUGGAGGAAGAGGAGCCAUCAAGGAAGCGGCCAUAGAAACCAUAGAAAGUGUCAAGAUGGUGACGAACGUCAAAUGCAGUAGAACGGUUAAGUUGGAUGAAAAGAAAAAGCUAUUGAUUUUGGCAAUAAAGAUGUCUCUACUGAUCUUUGUAAGCAGUUAAUGAGAUUAUUUGGGUAAAAGAUAGGUCCAGAGCACAGGAGAAGAGGCCGUGGAGACAGCAAGCGUAGACGAUUAAGUUUGGUGAAGAGAGGAAAGAUGGGCAGAUGCGCGACUGAGUCAUCAUGAGGAAAUUGUUGGAAAAGUUUCUCUGAUUAUAAAAGGACAAGCUGUUUAGAUGAUCGGACAAGGACUGGACAUCUGGUCAAAUUUGAGCCAAUUAGAUGAUUUCUCCCAAGAAUUUGGAACUGGAAAGUGAUGUCUUCGGAGGUUGCAUUUGGAACAUGCAUGUGAAGCAGAAAAUAAAGCAAUGGUGAGAGAGUGUACAACCUCAGAAGAAAAAGAUGAGAACAGCUGCCUUGAUUGUUGAUAAUUUUGCAGUUUUUGUUCCAAUGUUUUGUGCUUGUCUGCAUUUCCUGCUCCUGGGUUCCAUAAGAUGCCCUUAAAACCUUACAGAGAGACCCCCCACUUCCACCUUUAGUUUUUUAAAUUUUGAGGCUCUUCCUUGCUACCAAAUAAUGCCAAAUAAAACCAGCUGAGGUACAAUUACUUUUUGCAUAAAAUACAGUGGCUUGACAUAGUUGAUGACUUGGUUCUGUAGAAAAUAUAAAGUCACGGUUGGUGCCAGAUGAGUCAGGUUUAGAUGAGGGAGAACUUAGAAUGGAGCCUGAAUGAGUCAGAAAGGGUGAGCCUUGAAGUAAAAUGUGCCCAAGAGAACGGAUUAAAAGGCCUAGAAGUUCAUCUGCAGUUUGAGGACACCGUUAUCAAAGGACUGGGUCUAUGUGUCUGUGUUUGGUCUUAAGGAAUAUUGACUUUCUGCCAACAUAAUAGUGUUUAUAGCUUUGUAGUUAAUAUCACACUACACAGUGUUCCCUUUAUAUUUUCAUCAUGUAUUGGGACUUGGAUUCAAGUCCUAUCUUUUAAUUGUGUUAACCCAAUUACUUAGUCUUACUCACACUCUGACGCUUUAAAAAUUCUUAGUUAAUUCCAUCUUUCCCAUUUUUAUCCUUGGUAACUUUCUGUGGCUUUUUCAUCUUGAAUCAUUGAAUGAAGAUUAAACCUUUCAGAGUAACGUGUAGUGCAUAGAUUUUGGACUUAGGACACAAACUCGCCUGUGUCCAUCUCUACUGCUUACCAGCUGUAUGACCUUGGACUCUACCUUUCCACUCUGCACUUCAGUUUUCUAAUCUGUAAAACAGGGAUAAUAGCAUCAUCUUCCUAAGGGUGAUGGAGGAGAUUAAAUAAGUUAGUGCAUGUAAACCACUUCCCACUGUACCUGGCACAUGGUUAAGUAUUAGUUAAUGCAAGCCUUGGAGAAAUCAAUACUCUUCCCAUACUUGGAGAUAAUUAUCCCCAUCUUGUGUUAAUGUGUUCAUUCACUUUGAUCCACCUACUUGUCUGUCAGCUAACAUUUCUUCAUAAAAUUGGUAGUAUUUGUAUUGUGCCUUUUUAUUAUGAAACAUUUUCAAACAUACAGAAAAAAUAUAUAGGAAAUAUAACAAAUACCUGUGUGUCCACCAUCCAGGUUUUUCAGUCUUAUCAUUCUAAACGUAUUUGCUUGUUUCUUUUGAAAAGAAAAGAUUACAGCUGUUGUUAAAAUCUGUAUAGCCCUGUCUCAUUCCAUUUCUCUCCUUUUACCCACAGAGGUAAAUGCUGCUCUGAAUUUGACGUUUAUCAGAAUGAUACCAUGAAUGGUUUUAUAUUUUAUAACUUUUUAUAAGUGUGCAUGUAUAGGAUUGUUUUCAUGUUUUUGAAACUCAGUAUAAAUGGUAUCAUACUGUGCCUAACCUUCUGGGACUUGUGUUUUCACUCAUGUUUUUGAGAUGUAUCCAUGUUAACACCUUUCUCUAUAUUCAUUUUAAAUGCUGUAGUUCAUUGAAUGGGUAUAUCACAACUUACCCAUUUUCUUGUUGAUGCACAUUUCAGUUAUUUCCAGUUUUUGGCUAUUAUAAACAAUGCUGAAAUGCAAUACUUGACAUGUUUUUUGUGCAUGUAUGUGAGUGUUUCUCUGAGGUAUGUAUCUGGAACUUCAAUCACUGGCCAAUAGGAUAUUCUUAUCUUCAAAUAUACCAGAUAUUGCCAAUUGAUCUCUGCAGUGUACGUACUAAAUUACACCCCUACUAGCUGUGUAUAGGAGUUCGCAUUUUCCCACACCCUCCCUAGCCCUUGGCCUGGGCAGUUAUUUUUUUCCAAUGAAAACAAUUUUAUUUUGGGAUUUAACAAAAUUAUUUAAAAUUCAUCUGAAAGAAAAGCAAGUGUAACUAAAAUGUAGGAAACUAAAAACUAAGCCGUAUAUACAUGUGAAGAAAUUGAUACCGGUAGGCAUAACCAAACAUUCAUUCACUGUAGCAGAAUCAGUGCAUGUUUUUCUUAACUUUUAGCUCUCGUUCGACCUCUGCCCUGGCAUGGGACUCACACAGCCUCUCGCUGUAGGGGUCUCUUCACACAAUAGGCAACCCUCUUGGAUUGAAUGUUGUAAAGAGGGCUCAGGCCCAGCUCACUGCCUUCCAUGGUGUUCACUUCAUCGAGGAGCUGGGCUGGGAGUAAAGGCUGCUGCACUGUGGACUCUUGUGUCUGCUCUAUUCUCUCCAGUUCUUCCGCCUCCACCCCCACCCCAACUGCAAUUCAAGUAGACAUUGAUCAGCCCAUCAGCUGCAUAAGCUGACUUCAAACUGGGGAAACCCUUUCUUGCAGAGAUCCUCAGGGUUGCCACUUAUGUGUUUUAUAUAUAUGUAAAUAUAUUUUAAAAUAUAUACACAUGAUGCAUGUGAAAUAAUCGCUCAUGAUUUUGAUUCUCGUUUCCCUGUAUUCUAGUGAGCUUGAGCAUAUUUUCUUUUUUUUUUUUAGGAAGAUUAGCCCUGAGCUAACAUCUGCUGCCACUCUUUUUUUUUUUUUUUUUUGCUGAGGAAGACUGGCCCUGAGCUAACAUCCAUGCCCAUCUUCCUCUACUUUAUAUGUGGGACACCUGCCACAGCAUGGCUUGCCAAACAGUGCCAUGUCCGCACCCGGGAUCAGAACCAGCGAACCCCGGGCUGCCGAGAACUGGAACGUGCGAACUUAACUGCUGCGCCACCAGGCCGGCCCUAUGAGCAUAUUUUCCUUAAGUUUAUGAUCCAUGUUUCCUCCGAAGGGAAUUACCUAUCUGCUCCUUUACCCAUGUGCUUUUUUGGUUAUUUGCAUUUUGGCAUUGAUUUUUAAACAUUCUUAAUAAAUUCCGGAUACAUAUUAUUUUAGAGAUAGUUGGGCUGAUAAUAUCUUUUCUCAGUCUGGGGCUUAUCUUUUAACUUUGUUUAUGGUGUUGUGGGUGUGUGUUGUUGUUUUACAAAAGUUUUAUUGAAUCUAUGAGUUGUAGCUUUUCUGUCUUUCUGAAGAAAUUCUCUGCCUAGUGUCUUAAAAAUAUUUUCCUCUAAAUGUUUUAUGAUUUUGCCUUUCAAUUGAGCUUAUUAAUCCACUUUGGAAUUAUUUUUGUUUAUGGUGUGAAGUCUCUAAUAUUUUCCGUGUGGAUAACCACGUGUCCUAGCACAGUUUAUUGCCCAACUUUUCCUCACUGAUUGAAAUGCUGCCUCUGUCAUUGAGCCAGUUUCCACUUGUGUGUUGAUCUGUUCCUUGAUUCCUUUCUGUCUUUCCUGUGCUGAGACUAUACCGUCAAUACCAUGGCUUUCACAUCUUGAUAUCUGGUAGGGCAAGUCUCCUCUGCCCACUCCUUACCUGUUUUUCAAAAUAGUUUUUACUGAUUUUGAGCCCUGGCUUUUUCUAUGAGUUUGAGGAUUAAAUUGUCAAGUACCAUUGAAAAAUUAUGUUAGGAUUUUUACUGGAAUUACAUUGAGUUUAUAGAUUAAUUUGGAGGAAGAAAGUUGUCUUCCUAUCCACGGACAUUCUGUAUCUCCACUUAUUCAAGUCUAAUGUCAUUUUGUUUUUGGUGAGGAAGAUUGGCCCUGAGCUGGCGACAUCUGUUGCCAAUCUUCCUCUCUUUUUUUCUUUUUCUCCUCAAAGUCCCCCAGUACAUAGUUGUAUAUCCUAGUUGUAGGUUCUUUUAGUUCUUCUAUGUGGGACGCCGCCUCAGCAUGGCCUGAUGAGUGGUGCUAGGUCCGUGCCCAGGAUCUGAACUGGCGAAACUGGGCUGCCAAAGUGGAGCAUGCGAAUCUAACCACUUAGCCUCGGGGUCAGCCCCUGUAAUGUCCUUUUUAUAAACUAUUAUUUUCUCUGUGAAAGUUCUUACACAUCUUUUUUUACAUUUAUUGCUGCGUAGCUCUCUUUUUAGUUGUUGCUAUGGGGAAUAGGCUUUUUAAAGUUAAGUGUAUAAAUUGAUCAAUGCUGGUCUUUAUAAAUGCUAUUGGUGUCUGUAAAUUGAUUUUGUCUAACAAUCCUACAUAAUUCUCUUGCUGGUUCUAAUUUCUUAUUGAGUCUAUAAGAUUUUCUAUGGAGACAGUGAUAUUGUCUUCAAAUAAGAAAAGGUUUAUCUCUUCAUCUGCAAUUCUGAUACCUCUACUUUUUUAAAUGUUGCAUUGGCAGCUUGAUGUUAACUACAAGUGGCACAACAUCUCUGUCCUGUUUUUGACUACCAUUUACUUUUUUUCCCCACAAGUAACCCUGUUUGAUCCUUAUGCUAUAUGCUCGGCACUUGGGAUAAAAUGAUGAUCAAUUCAUGGUUUCUGUCCUGAAGGAUAUAGUCAGAGAGGCUGAUGACAUUCUGACUACAGUUACCUUUCCGACUUAAAAAAUUCGAUCUGGUUUUUCUGGUUUCCUGUACUUUUUUUCAUUAUAACGAUAUAUUCCUUUUAUUUCAAAGUUAGGAGAAGACUAGUUUUUUGUUUUUGUUUUUUUCCCUUAAACAUGAUCCUACAGCAUAACCCUGCUAAGUGUCCACAGAUGUGACAUCUGGAACAUUGUACCCCAAGCGUGCAAGAGCCCCAGUGUAGGCCCUCCGUUUGCUUGGCACAGGGUUAUACACACGAGAGCACCUAAUGAACCUUUUACAACUGUCAGAGAAAGAACACAAGGGCUUCCUUGCUCAGGCUCUAGUGGUAAGCUCAAGGCGUACGGGAUAGGCCAAAUUCAGGGUAGGAGAGAAAACAAAGGAAAAAAAGUUGCUAAUGGGGUCUGUCUGUCUGGCCAGAGUCUCCUCAGAUCCACUCUAAUACUGGAGACAGUGCGUCAACCCUGAAAUGGAAACUAGAGACUGCAAGGCAGCAACAUACGCACGCAACCAACUUUCUAGUCACGGUUGGUGAGGAAGGAAAAAGUAAUGUUCUGCCUCUCAAAUCAUUGUUUGACUGAUGGCACACAGCAGAAGGGGCAAUAGGUGUAAACGCCACACGAAGCCGAGGGGCUUGUAUUGUCUGGGCUCCUCUCUGCUGGGCUGAUUCCUUCUUCAACUGGCAGAGGACAAAGGGACAGUUUUUUAGGUAUUUCUAUGCCCCCGAAUUUCAUCUUGGGAUGCAGGGAAGGGAGCAGUUCAGAGCCGCUGGUGCGGAGAAACGUGCAGGAGAGUCACGGGGUGGGGCAGCCUUCAGCCUUGGCGCUGGGCGUCCUGACCAUCUGUACCUAGAGAACUGCUGAAGUUGAUCACGGGAGCCAACGUCUUGCCGCUGGAGGAGUCUUAAUGCUGUUUGAAGAUGGCUUUUUGGACUCUGACCAAGUGUGGUCUUUGUUCUUGAGGUUUUCCCCCACAACAUGAGAGCUGUCGGGGAGCGAGCAGCAAAUUUAAAUUCUUCCUUGGUUUUGCAGUGCAAGGGUGGAGAGAACCGUCCCUUUGCAAACAGUCAUAAAAUUAGCAUGAUCACGGUGUGGCUUCUCAAAGCCAGGCCUAGGUUGUGCUCGCCACAGAUCUCUAAGAGUUAGCAUCACCAGGAUGCUAAAUUCUUUGUUUUUGGCAAAGUUUCUUCUGCCUUCAUUUCUCUCUUGCUAGAUGGGCAGGCAGCUAGGGUGAGUGAAGUCAGGAUUUGGCUUGUCUCACUAUCACCUUCUCACCUUCACCAUCAGCUGCUGCUGCUUCUUUUUUUUUUAAC